This 129-nucleotide ribosomal RNA is filed under the name uncultured eukaryote. RNAcentral's name for it is "partial 18S ribosomal RNA". It matches the Rfam family "Eukaryotic small subunit ribosomal RNA", at positions 1299 to 1448 of the family's 1831-position model. The record is from RNAcentral.
UGGUGGAGCGAUUUGUCUGGUUAAUUCCGAUAACGAACGAGACUCUGGCCUAUUAAAUAGUUCGCCGAUUCCGAUCUGUCGGCGUUAACUUCUUAGAGGGACAAGUGGCUUUUAGCCACGCGAGAUUGG